GUAUUGAUUGCAUGUGACUGCAAAAGAAAAACAUUCUACACUGUAUCAAGUUUUGUGUGAAAACGCGAGCCCCCCUCGGGACGAGCCGAAAGGGGACCCACGCGGUGGUGCACAUAGGGGUGAAAUGGAUGGUUGAGAGCACUUGGGCGUGCACGACGAAAAGUCAGCGACAGCCCAUGUGCCUCGGUUGUACGAUAAUGAUCCUUCCGCAGGUUCACCUACGGAAA
This 227-nucleotide unclassified non-coding RNA is filed under the name uncultured fungus. RNAcentral's name for it is "sequence contains ITS1". Lineage: Eukaryota; Fungi. The record is from RNAcentral.